GACACUUAGGUUAAUUAAACCUUAGGCCUUCAAAGCCUAAAAUAAGACACAUCUCUUAGUGCCUGAAGGCCC
This 72-nucleotide transfer RNA is filed under the name Uroplatus ebenaui. Its description in RNAcentral is "tRNA-Trp". The record is from RNAcentral. Lineage: Eukaryota; Metazoa; Chordata; Lepidosauria; Squamata; Gekkonidae.